RNAcentral lists this ribosomal RNA (76 nucleotides) under Staphylococcus epidermidis. RNAcentral also lists the same sequence under 3 other names. Lineage: Bacteria; Bacillati; Bacillota; Bacilli; Caryophanales; Staphylococcaceae. The record is from RNAcentral.
UCUGGUGACAAUGGCAAGGAGGUCACACCUGUUCCCAUGCCGAACACAGAAGUUAAGCUCCUUAGCGCCGAUGGUA